CAUUAAAAAUUCAAUGACAUAGGGUAAAUUGAUAAAUCCCAGAUAGAAGUAACAGCCCCUUUCACCAGAAGGGGGGGCCUCCUCACUACCAAGUGAGAGGGUGCCUUCGCGGGAUGUACGGUAAAAGUCCGUAGCCUUUUUUGGUAUUACCAUAACUCUUCUGUGUACCUAUUACUUGUUGCUUCCCUGGGGUAACUCAGGGAAGGCAUACAUAUACUCUGCCUAUUGCAGUCAGUCUGAACUUGUUUAUUUAUAAACGUUAAAACUUUCAACAACGGAUCUCUUGGUUCUCGCAUCGAUGAAGAACGCAGCGAAAUGCGAUAAGUAGUGUGAAUUGCAGAAUUCAGUGAAUCAUCGAAUCUUUGAACGCACAUUGCGCCCUCUGGUAUUCCGGGGGGCAUGCCUGUUCGAGCGUCAUCAAAACUACUCAAGCUAAGGUUUACCUUCUGCUUGGUCUUGGAAUUGGAAUAUAAUGUUUCCUUUCUGAAAUACAGUGGCGAAUUGACUGUGCUGUAAACGUAGUAACUUUACCCGUUGAAAGCAUGUUCACAUUCCGCCAUAACCCCCUCUAUUAUCUAGUUUGAC
Molecule: ribosomal RNA, 585 nt
Filed under: Geopyxis sp. T2S25
Lineage: Eukaryota; Fungi; Ascomycota; Pezizomycetes; Pezizales; Tarzettaceae
Description: eukaryotic LSU rRNA
Rfam family: 5.8S ribosomal RNA (bases 264-417)
Source: RNAcentral